Aedes aegypti (yellow fever mosquito) is the source of this 73-nucleotide non-coding RNA. NCBI's taxonomy places the organism in Eukaryota, Metazoa, Arthropoda, Insecta, Diptera, Culicidae. The record is from Rfam.
CCUCUCGUGGCGUAGGGGUAACGCGCCCUAACUAGAGUUCAAGGAGUCAUGAGUUCGAUUCUCACCGAGAAGA